GCAAGUCGAACGAUGAAGGAGAGCUUGCUCUCUGGAUUAGUGGCGAAAGGGUGAGUAACGCGUGAGUAAGCUGCCCUCAAGUUGGGAAUAAUUCACCGAAAGGUGGACUAAUACCGGAUACGGUUAUAACAGUGCAUAUUGUAAUAACUAAAGAUUUAUCGCUUGAGGAUGUGCUCGCGUCCCAUUAUGUUUGUUGGUGAGGUAACGGCUCACCAAGACUAUGACGGAUAACUGGUCUGAGAGGAUGAUC
RNAcentral lists this ribosomal RNA (250 nucleotides) under uncultured bacterium. RNAcentral describes it as "partial 16S ribosomal RNA". It matches the Rfam family "Bacterial small subunit ribosomal RNA", at positions 57 to 305 of the family's 1533-position model. The record is from RNAcentral.